CGUCGCGUCGGACGGGAUGCGGCAGCCCGCGUCCUCCAUGAGGGCGCGCACAUCCUCCAGAUCGUGUUCGAACGCGUCGUC
This 81-nucleotide transfer RNA is filed under the name Bifidobacterium longum subsp. infantis. Its description in RNAcentral is "tRNA-Met(cat)". RNAcentral also lists the same sequence under 1 other name. The record is from RNAcentral. Lineage: Bacteria; Bacillati; Actinomycetota; Actinomycetes; Bifidobacteriales; Bifidobacteriaceae.